ACAGAAAGCAGUACUGGAAUAGCUCUUAACAACAUUACUAGACAGUAUUUGGAUCAAUGAGCUGUUUUUUGGACCAACACAUCUAGGGGUUUUGAACUGGCUCACCGCGCCUCCUAAUCCAACGAAAUGAUCCAAUAUCUUAUGAAAGGUUCCCCUCUUCACAAUCAUCAGUUCAAGUGCUCCAAUUGCAUUCACUUUCCUGGAGCUCACGUAGCCUGCAUCCAGGAACGAUUUGUCCAGACAGUUGCAGCACUCUUGCAAUAUUUCAUCAGUUGCUUCCCCACUCAGUUCCCAAAAGAUAACGUAGUGUCCUGGAUCAGCUGAGACGUUGACAUGGCUGGUGAAGUCCAUACUUCUAGUUUUUCGUCAACUGAGUGCUUGCCUGAAGCUUCCACGGCUAGUUGCAAAUCUUUCUCAGUGUUCUUGUCUAUGUUAAUGCUCAGCAAAAGGUUCCUUCUGCAGACAAACUGGAGUUCUGGAGUGCCAUUGUGGAAUCCUUUUAUCUUGACAACAUCACCUAGUCUGUAACGAUAUAAACCUGCAUAUAUAAACACAUAACUCUCGUCAAUUAUACUUUCAGGACAUAUAGCUAAACUCGUAUUUGACGCAAUAGAUAGACCGAUAGGUAGGUAAUUUGAAUAAAUCUGUUAAGUGUAGUAGAUGUGGAACAACAAGACAGAAUCUGUUAAGUGUAGUAGAUGCAAGUAUUGCAGAAUAAAUGAGCACAACAGAACAUGGACAAAAAAUAUGUUAAUUCCAAAAUAAGGCAUAAAAACAAAUGAUAAAAUAUUUUCUAUAUAAGCAGAACUUAGUAUUUGAUGUCAGGCAGGCAUAUGUAAGUAAUCACAUUUCCUGCAAUAUUGCCAUAAAGAACGAAUACUAAGUUGAGAGGAAUCGACUCAGUCAGCUGAAUUACAUGAAGUCACUAAGAUUAGUGCAGAACUCGUUAACCAUGAAAAAUAACUGAAUAAUAAGACUGUGUUCCUAUAAAUGAUCAACAAGCAUAGAAUUUUCAAGAAAAGACGUGCAAGAAAAUUGUACCUGCGAAAUUGGUGAAGACAAUUUCAUACUCUUCACCAAGUUUAACUUCAGUCAGCCCAACUGAAGAAUUUGCUUGCUCCACGCCAAUGAGAUUUUCCUCGAGUGGAAGGAAUUCAAAAUAGCCAAUAUUUGGUAACACUGCAUAAGUAACCAUCUCAGGGGGGAAUUUCGGGUUAACAUUUACUCCGACCCAUCCUUCAGAAGAACCAUAAUCUGCACUCAAUAGAGGUAAUUCUCCUGCAUAGUGCCUCAGUUUCUUCAAGUAAGGCUCCAUCGAACCUGUCAUGAUACCAUAAAUGUACUUUGUAUUCGGGAAGAGUUCAGGAAUCAAGCCGUACCAAUUGCUUAAACUUGAACAUUUGCUAUAAAUUGUUUCAGCCAAUUCUGGAUCAGGCUUCAACAAUUUUGAUGAAACAACUUGAACUUCAUCGCGGAAAAUGAGACCAGACAGAAGGUGACAGUAUAAGGAUUGUUGAAAAUCAGGACCAAAUAUCACUUGAUCAGGACUACAAACUGGGGUAGACAUUGCCUUCAUUGUCUUCUUGAAUUGUGCAUUUCUAUACACAUUGGUAGUGGCUGUUCCAGCUGCCAAACCACCUUUAGUUUUAAACUGCUUGCUGCUGUAAAUAAACUGCAAAGCCUUUCCAUUCCCAAUGGGAAAUUCUCUGAAAGAAAAAAACAUAGGCUAUAUGAUGUAUUUGUGACCAAAAAAAACUUCAUGAACCAACAAGCAAAUUACCUGUUCCUAAAGGCAAAAGAAGUCUUGAAUGUCUGCAUUGUGGAAUUCAUCAAUUCAUCAUUGAAAGGUACAAACUUUGGCUUCCCUUGAGUAGUACCAGAACUGCAAAUUAACCAUUAUAUUUCCUCUUUAAACAUACAACAAUAUACCGCUCACAAGUGGGGUCUGGAAAAAAAAAAGAGAAACUUUUUUGCUUACCUCAAGGAGAUGGCUUGAAUGGGCUUUCCCGUAAGAAUAGGUGAAAGAUCACCAUCAGCAAUUCUUUGAAUGUAAGGAUCCAAAUCACUGUGACAGACUAUGGGGACACAAGCCUUGAAAGUCUCAACAUCAGUUCUGCCAUUCAGACCCCAUUGCUUCAAAUACUCUGUUCCCCCAUUUUCUUUCAGAAUUUUCUCAAGUGUCUCUUCUUGAAUCCUCCCAGCAUCUUUUGUCAUCACCUCAAAAUCCUCAAUCACUUCUUCUGCAUCAAAUAUCUUCUCAAUAUUUUUCAUCAUCUUCACAAUCAAGACUUCAACUUUAAGCAAUAGCAGUCAAGUAAAAGCAGUCAAGAAUCCUCAAUUUGAGAGAUGGGGUUGGGGGUUAAGAAGAAUUUAAGCAACUCCAUAGUUAUUACUAACUUCAUUGCAACUUACCUCAUAAAAAGAAUUGACAGAAAUAAAGGAAACAUGUUUGUAACAGAUAAUCAUACUCAUUAUCUUCGUUUUAUUCUUAAGUUACAAAGAUGAAUCUAGAUAUUGAAAGUACCGAGAUAAUUGUUAUUUUUAAUGCAGGCGUUUCAUUUUUUUUCUUCAACCACUAUAGACACGUCAAUUAUUUACAUAAAGUUGGGACAUAAUUCUAUGAAAAAAUUGGGUUGUAACUACUAAAUUUGAUUGUGUUUGACUUUUGGAGACUAAAAUCUUCUGAUUUUUUUACUCAUUUGGUUUGAAGAAUAUAAGAACUUCACAAAUAAAUCAGACUAUGCAUUGGUUUGAAAAAUAUAGAAACUUCACCAAUUUGUUUAAUACUUUAUUUGAAUGAAUAUUUUGACUUGAAGAGAACUAAAUCCUCGUAGGAAUAUUAAGGCUAAAUGAUUUGAGAAAGAUAAAAUCUUCAUGUUAGCUAGAAACAAUGUUAUAAUUGAGAUUUCUGGAGAUCAAAACCUUUUUGGUUUACUAUUUUGUCUGAAUGUAGAACUGAUAUAUAAAUUUCAUCAAAAUUCAAGAUUCAUUUUAACGAUUAGAAAAAUAUAAAAACUUUAUUGUUAAAUUAGAAACAAGUUGUAUAAAGAUUGAAUCUUUAUUGUUAGUAUUCUAAAUACUAAGUGGUAUGUCUAGUUGUGACAGAAAGGAAAAACAAACACUAGUCACAUAAAAUUAGUGAUUUUUGUGCCUGCAAUGGGUGUUUCUAUGGAUUAAAUCUCCAAAAGAAGGCUUCGUGUUGUCAAUGUGUAUUUUGAUGAUAUACAAGUUCCAAGCAUGGAAAUAAAAUAUGUGAAAAAUAAUUUUAAAUACUUGAAAAAUAUUUUUGAAAACAUAUUUAAAAUGUGCGGGUUCUUUACUUGUGAUAAAGACAAUUUGGAGUAUAUUUGAUACAGUGGUUGUUGAGUUUCUCUUUACUAGUAUAUGAUAUGAAUAGUAUAAAACCACAAAAAUAUAUUACUCUUUCAAAGGAAUUGUAUUCUUUAAUGAAAUAGAGUCACUUAAAAUAUUUGAUUUUUCAUGAAAAGAUAUGUCUAUUGUAUAGAAUGAACAUUGGUAAAAAUAAUUUGUUAUGCUUGUAUUGUAAAACAAAUAUUUCGGUCAUAUUGUCUUUAUUGGACCUAAAAGACUAUGUUCACGAAUUAUUCUAUAACACUAAAAAAAUAGUGUUUAGCGACGAACACAAUCCGUCACUAUAUGAUGAAAAUUCGUCACUAAUCACGAUUAGCGGCGAAUUAGCAAUGGAAUAUUGAUUGUUGUUAUUAUGCUCAUUAGUAAGCUCUUAGUGACGAAAAAUGUGUUCCGUCACAAGUUUAGCAACGUCCUAGUGACGAAUAACUUCCGUCGCCAUAUGUUGGCGACGGACUUAGUCGUCAUUAUAUUUAUAUAAUUUUAUUGCUAAUUUCAUAAUUCUAUGACGAAAAAUGAUGUUUCAUCUCAAUUUUAGCGACAUCAAAGUGACAAAACAUUUUCGUUGCCACAUGUUAGCGACGGACUGAUUCGUCAUUAUAUUUAUAUAGUUUUGUUGCUAAUUUCAUAAUUCAUUUCGUUAUUUUGGAUAAAUUUGCAACAAAAUUUCCGUCACAACAUAUUUUGUAACAACAUAUUAGGCCUUUUAAUAAUUCGUCGUUGAUCCGUCGCCAACAUUCUUUUUACAGCAACAACCAAAUAGUCGCAAAAUUUGUUGCUAAAAGUUGUUCUUAUGCAAUGCUGAAAUAUAUUAAAUUAAAAUUACUAAAUACUCUAAAAUUAACAAACAUUCAUAUAAUAUAAUACCCAUAGAUGAUUCAUAAUAUAUAAAUAGAAAACUCUAAAACAACAUAUUUCUGGUUUAAAAUAUCCAAAGAAAACUAUCAAGUACUCUUAAAUGAACUUGUGUUCAUCAAAAUAUUACUACGCGCAAUUUCUAGUUUCCAAAAAGUAUGACAAUAUCAAAAAUUGAAGUUGUGGAAUUAUCAACUUGAAAUUGAGGUGUCAACCUCGUCCACGUUACUAGCAGGAGGCAUGGGCGCCGCAGACGAUGGAUUGCCGAAUGAAGUAAUCGAUAUUUGUACCAGCUCAAUAAUAAUAGAAACAAGAUGACUAGUUAGUGCAGACUUUAUUUUCUUUACAAACUCUUCCAUAUUUAUUUUCGAUGUUGAUUGAGAAAAUGGAUGUGGUAAUGAUGAUGACCCACAAAGUUUCUUUCAAUAGUAUUUUUUUGCUUCAGAUCCAAGACCGUAUAUUCUUCUUUUCUUUUCUCCUCCCGCAGCUUGGUAAUAUGCUUCAUAUUGAUCAAUAUCAGUUUCAAAUAAUGUUUUUCCCUUUAAUAUUUCUUCAUAUUUUCCUAUAAUAAGUAGAGAAAAUGAGAAAAUAUUAAUGAUAUGGGACAAACCAAAUUUUGAAGGAAAAUGGAGAAAAUCCACAAACUCAUGCUCAGUACAGAGUAGAGAGUGGAAGAGACACUAAGAAUAAAGAUGUCCCUUUCAGAUAAGUUUGGUACAAUUCCAUAUGAUUCUUUAAAACAUAUCAGCUGCUCUUUACAAAGAUAAAGUAGUAUAUGUGAGUGAAGGAUGAGGCAUCCCUUUUAAACUGAGCAAACUGAUAGAAAUAAAAUACUUCACAAGUUGACUUCUCUACUUCUACGAGGAAAAUGGAAUUCAUAGAUGUGUACACCAUUUGUCUAGAAUUUGGCAUACUCUCUAAUAGAACUUAUCAAUACCAUCAAAUCAAAUCAUGUACUUGACAAAAAACGCACCACUAUCUGGUGUACCAGUUGUUGUGUCUGUGGUAAUAAACAGUGGGUAGCCAAGUAAUUGGUAACAGCAUCCACCCAAGAGAAGAUCAUGUCAAGAUGAGCUAUCUCUUAUUACAAAUGUGUCAAGUAGAAGUGCAAUAGUUUUAAGCAUGAGUUUGUGUUUUUAGCAACAUAUAAUUAUACCCACACCAGCAAAAGUAGUUCCCCAGAGUAUAAGCAUUAUGAAACAAUGGGGUUUGGACUCUUUGCUACACCCACAUGGUCAAUAAUUAUAUGCUAAUUGAGACUUGUGCCACAUAGACAAUGACAACUAACUAUACAGGAAAAUCCCCCUCCCCAACACCCCACCAUAACACGUGCUCAGUUCAUCAGUGAUUGACUUUUGGAAGCUAGCUCGAGUCAAGUACCUUUCAAUAUGAUAUAUCAAGCUUGUAUAAUGUAUACUGGAGAGUACUUGAUCGAGGUUACAUUACACUGAAACAGUAACAACAAAUUCUCACUAAAAUAAGACUAGAAUCAAAGUAAAACAACUAUUGAUUGGUCCAUGUAGAUAUAUGACUGUCACAUGGGAAUUCACAACCAAAUAUGUCUCUUUGUUCCAAUCGUCGUGCUGCACUAGAGUCACAUUAAAACAACACGAGAAUCACAUCAAAACAACACUAAAAUUUCAGCAAAAAAGCCUCAAAACAGUGGCAGUAGUUUCUCUCUAAAACGACACUAGAAUCGCAUCGAAAAGUCUCAAAACAUCAUUAGAACUAUACCAAACAGCAGUAACAAAUACACUUUAAAACAAGAAAAAAUUGCACCAUAAACUCCAGUAGGAAAGAAUCGAAACACCUCCAAGUCGCGAGAACGCUCACCAACAAAUGAUUUUUCAUCAUGUCCAUGUGUAUAAACAUGUAGAUGUAACUCACUUGGCUUGGGAUCUUGGCCUUUUUCAAUAGCCUAUACAAAAGAAAUCGUGUUAUAUAUCAUAUAAGAGAAGAUGUUAGUUAUAGAGUUUGUAGAAUAUAUAUACUCAAAAGUUUCUUGUUAUCUUCUCCGAUAGAAAUAGAGCCAUCAGUGUGAGUCCUAAUAGCAGCUUUACGGCCCCCAUGACGAUUUUGCGAAUUAAUUUCUAGUUUCCUAAUAACUCUGCACUUCCCCAAAGCUCCAUCCAUCUUUCUCACACAUCUUCUUGGUACAUAACUUGGCCCAACUUCUCCUUUUUUUAUUUUAGAAAUGAAAUUCCUAUAGUUCAAUGUUGCCUUAACCAUCCAGUGUGUUUUGACUUCGUUUUAACUAAUGGAAACAUUCCAGAAAAAUCUUUUUUGAAAUAAGAUUUGAAAGUAGUACAUUAAUGUCCUAUCUAUAUACGUGAAUACACUUGCAAAAAUCACUUACGAUGAAAACUUAUACCCUAAAUUCUUCAAAAUAAUCAUUUCUUACAUCAUUUGAGACACCUUUCCAAUUGAUUCAAUUGGGAUCAACCUCACUUUUAAAAGAUUUGGAUAUAAAACUAAUGCAUAUUUGAGAAGGUUCUAGUCUGUAUAAAUUAGAAGAGGUUAUUAGGAGGGCUAUCAUAAAUCAAAAUUCAAAGACAGCAAGUUGUUGGAUUUUAAAAAGGUGUGAAUGGAAAAUGAAGAGUUGUGACUAUUAUGAAAUGUUGCGAAUUUUAUGAAAAGUUGUGACUUUUAUGGAAAGUUGUGUUUUUUAUGAAAGGUGACGACCUUUCUGAAAGAUUGUGACUUUUCCAAAGGUUUGUGACCUUUCCGGUAAGGCACAAUAAGAACCUUUUCGCACUAUCCUUUGUUGUCUAUAAAUUGAGGGAUUUCCUCUUAUUUUAAAUAUAAUUUAUGGACUUCUUCUUCAACUACUAAAUCUAGUAUUCUAAGUGAACUUUACUGUCGUUGAGUGGUUCGCUAACACCUGAGUUUUUGGUAUCUAUACACUGGUGAUUGAGAUCACUUUACCCUGGGAGGUCAUAUUCCAAAUCAAACCUCGGAUACUAGAGGGGAGUAAUUUCCUUAAGGGGACACUGUGAAUUCAGUGGACUUGAUCUUUUUCCUAUUAAAAAUUUUCCAGAUUCUGGUACGUGUUUUACAAACUUUAGAUUUGUGAAUUAAUUUCAGUUCUUCUAUUCUUUUGUUUUUCACUGGUUCAUUAAACUUGGUAACUUCGUGUUUCUGCAAAGUUUGUUGGAAUCAGUAAGAUUUUUUAGACACAUAUUAACAACAAUUCUUCUUUAUGAAAAAUAUUUCGUAAAUUUUUUCUAAAAAAAACUGUUUUUGAUUCUAGUUUCGCUAAUAGUUUUAAUUUUCUAGUUGUGAAAAUGUUCUUAAACUUUGUUUUCUUACAAAGAUGUUCAAAGUUUUGUUCUAAGUAUGUUUGGAAUACAAGAUGAACAACAAUCUUAAGGAAAUUAUUAUGCUGUUAGUAUUUUUUUGUAUUCUACUGAUUGAGAGAAUCUGAUCAUUAAAGUAGAAGAUAAAUGCAUUACUUCUCUAUAAUUCGUUGCUUUAUUUUAACAAAGUCGAAGUGAGAAUUUAACAAAAAAAAUUUAUGGUAUUCCGUUUAAAGAUUAUCAGGUAACCUCCUUAUUAAAUUAUCUAAGUAGGAAAAUAGUUUCUAAGAGUAAUCAUCUUUGAUUUUUUAUUUUUUUAUUAUGUGUAUCUUUGUAAAAGAUUUGCAAACUAUAUGUUGUGGAAUUAAUUUUACUUCGCAGAUAUUGUUGUUUUUAAAAUUCUUUAGUUUGCAAAAAAUGAGAGAUGCAUAUUUUUGUUUGAUAAAAUAGUAUGUCAAAUUGUUAUAGUUGGAAAACUAUUUGAUAAGAAAAACAUUUUUAUGUGAUAAAGAAUAUGUGUUAUUCUGUUUGGAGAAAAAAAAAGAUUUUUGUAGUUUUGUACUCCAUGAGAAAUGUUAGUGUGUCUGAUUUUUGAAGACUAAAAACUUUUGUGGUUUUAUACUCUAGAUAAAUUGGACUUUGCAAUUGGUUUGAAGAAUAUGAAAACUUCACAUAAUAAGUUAGUGUUGUACUUUUGAUUUUCUAUAAACUUCAAUGUAACAUAGAAAUAAAUUGUACAAUUUUGUUUUGUCCUUAUUGCUAAUAUUUAAAAUACUAAGUGGCAAGUCUAUUUAUGAUAGAGAAAAAAUACCAGUGACUUAGAAUUUGUAAUUUUGUGUCUCUAUGGAAUGAACUUUGACAUUGUGUAUACAUUGUCAAAGAGAAUUGCAACACUAUAAUUCUUUCGUAGAAUAAUGUUUUCAACAUUAAAAUAUGUGGAAAAACUAUUUUCAAAUACUUGAAAAAUAUUUUUGAGAUCACAUUUGAAAUGUGGGGGUUAUUUGCUUAUGAUUAGACUUGGUGUCUAAUUUAACUUUGGAACAAAAGAUAUGAAAUUCAAUGAUACUUUUGUAUUAUGUUAUACCCACAAAAUUCUUGGAGUAUAUUUGGUAUUGUGGUUGUUGAGUUUCUCUAUUACUAGUAUAUAGUGUGACUAGUAUGAAACAUCCAAAUUAUAUAUAUACUUGAUCAAAAUAAUUAUGUUCUUUUAUGUAAAAAAAAUCACUUAAAAUGUUGUGAUUUUUCAUGAAAAGAUAUGUCUAUUAUAAUAAAAGUAUUUUCAUAGACAUGAAUAUUGAUGAAUAGUCAUUUGUUAUGUUUUUGUAAAAAUAACAGUUGGACUAUAUUGUCUUUAUUGAACCCGAUGAAACUUUAUUCAUAGGUAGUUCUAUAACAAUCACAUUGAAAGUUAUGAAAAUGUCCUUCUGAAAAGUAUAUUGACAAUCUAAAGAAUGUUUCUAUCACACAAAGUUGUAAGAAAUAGGAACAAAAUAUUAGUGAGGAAAAAGCUACCUCGCGAAGAGCUUUUCAAACUCAAUGUUUUUAUUUGUUCUUACUUGCUUGAGUCAAUGUUUGUGACAUGAACACUUGGGGCAUGUCAAUUACAAAAACCUUGUAAGAAAAACUGAUCAACUUAGAAGUUUUGCCUAACUUUGAGUGCAAUAAAUAAAAAUGUCAAGUUUUUUUUGGAAUCUAAGUAUGUUGAGCAUUCUUAUAAAUCUGUUGAAAGAAAUUCUAAUAGCUUAGAAUUGAUUUACACUGACAUUUAUGAUAUGGAGUUAACACCAUCUCAUGGUGGGAAAAAGUAUUUGUUACUUUUAUUAAGAAUUGCAUUAGAAAUGACUAUUUCUAUUUGCUAAAUGGUAAGGAUGAAGAAAUAGAAAUGUCUAGACAAUGUAAUAUCGAAGUUGAAAAUCAGUGUGAAAAAAUAUAUAAGAAGUGAUAAGAAUGGAGAGUAUAAAUCUCAUUGUGCAGAAAUAUGUUUGGAAAGUAAAAUAUCAAACUACUGCCAUAUUCACCUCAAUCCAAUGAAAAGACGAACGUUGAUAGAAACGAUGGAUGCAUUAUUUAUAAGUUCGGGUUUACACAAAACUUGUGUGGAGGAACUAUCCUUACUGCAAAAGGGAUCAACAAAAAGUUUUGUCCUUUUAGAAAGAAAACUUGAAAUAUUUCAAAGUGUAGGGUUAUCUAGUCAAAGUCCAAGAUCUUAUUCAUAAAAGAAUUAAAAUAGGACCUAUGACUGUGGACUGUAAAAUUAGACUUGAGUAGUCUAGAGAAGGGUCUAAAAGGCCUAGGAAAUGAAAAGGAUAAUGUACUUAAUAAAGAGAUUCAGAAUCUUAGUAAAAUGUAAAAGGACAUUUACUUCCUUCAAAUAUGAUUUUGUAACAUUUUCUGUGUCUUCUAUAGACUAAUCCUUUGGAAAGAUAGUGUCAAUAAACAAUAUUGAAAGUUAAUUGAUAUUCUUCAAGAAAAUAAACCUUUGGGUUCAAAAUGAAUCUUUAGAAUGAAAAAUAACAGUUGAUGGAACUGUUGAAAAAUAUAAAGCAAGACUUUGUGUCAAAGGCUUUAGAAAAAAAAUAAGAUAAGUACCUUUUGAUCUUGUCGAUAUAUAUACUCGUUAGUAAUUAGAUUUACAUCCAUUCGGAUGCAAAAAUUAUUACUGUGGUAUUGACCUCUAAAUUCAUCAAAUGAAUGUGAAAAAAACUUCCUUAAAUGUAGAAUUGGAGGAAGAAAUUUACAUGGAACAACCCGAGGAUUUUGUGGUACCUGGUAAAUAAAAGAAAGUAUGUGAACUUGUUAAGUCACAUUAUUGAAGCACCAAAACAAUGACAUAAUUCAAUCAUACCAUGUCGUCAAAUGGAUUGAAGAUUGAUGGAAGUAAUAAAUGUGUUCACAUUAAUAUCAUAAGGUCAUUGUUUGUUUGUAUAUUAAUGAUAUGUUAAUCAUCAAUAGAGACACUAAUGACAUAAAUGCUACUAAACGUAUGCUAUAAAGCAAGUGGAAUGAAAAUUAUUGGAGUUGCUAAUGCGAUCUUAGAUAUAAGAAUUCGUAGAACUCCAUAAUGUUUAGCAUUUUCACGGUUUUAUUGCAUUGAAAAGGUACUUAACUAGUUCAAAUAUUUGAAUGUCAAUAUUGUCAAGUGUCCAAUAAAUCUGAGUUUUGCAUAUCGAAAGAGUGAAAACAAAAGUGACUCACAAUUGGAUUAUGCUAGAUUUUUGGGAAGCAUGAUGUAUAUCAUAUAGUGUGUGCGAUCAGAUAUAGAAUUUGCUAUUUUAAACUGAGUCCGUUCACAAGUGAUCCCAAAUAAAUUCAUUAGAUGACAAUAAAUAGAGUUUUGGAGUAUUUAAAAUAAUACUUAAAACUAUGUCUUGCAUUAUAACAAUAUCCAACAUUAUUGAAAAAUAUAGUGAUGCAAAUUGAAUCAUCGGAAGAAUGAAGUAAAAUUCACGAGUGGAUAUGUAUUUACUAUUGGUAGAGGACCAGUCUCUUAGAAAUAUUUCAAAAGAGACAUGUAUCGCUAGCUCUACAAUGAUCUUUGAGCUAGGUGCUCUAGAUAAGGUCGGUGAAUAAGUUAAAAGACUUCAGAAUUUCUUGAUAGAUAUUCUAUUUUGGCCCAAACCAUUGGCAUUAGUAUGCAUACACUUUCACAGUCAAGAUGCAAUAGGUAGGGCAUGGAGCAUGACGUAUAACGGAAAGUCUCGUCAUAUAUGACAUAGAUAUGAUACUGUUAGAAAACUACUCUCUAGUGGAAUUAUUAGAAUAGACUAUAUAAAGUCAAAGGAUAAUGUGUCAGAUCCACUUACAAAAAGGCCUAACUAGAGAGAAAGUUAAAAGAUCAUCUAAGGGAAUGAAUUUACGGCAUAGGACAAGUCAUCAUGGCGGUAACUCUAUCUAGCAGACUAGAGAUCCCAAGAUCUAGAUUCAAGGAGAAAAACAAAGUUGUGAACGACGGUUCGGCAUUGUCAAUAAAAUCAAUCUAUUCUCAUGAUGAAGACAAUGCUCAGGGAAAAGGAUACAACAUUAAGGCUUCUUAAUGAGUUAACACGGUUAGAAAUCACCUAUGUGAGUGUGAAGUGUAAGCCGCUUCAAAGAAGAUGAUUGUCAAAAGCCCAUAUCUCUAUACACUCAUGAAACCAGGAGGUGUUUAUGCCGUAAGAAUCAUAAAUGGUAAAGGGUUAAUUGUGUGACAUAUGGUUGUCUAGGUAUACACCAAAGUUCGACGGUUCAAAGAUAUCACAUCUACCGAUUGACCGAGUAUAUCCGACAUAUGUUCACUACGGAAAGUCCAAGGGGAAACCUACUUAUCCAGAUGCAGCUAAUUCUUGCUUGUAAAGUACACAUACUUGUCCAUUUCUUUGUCUUCGAGUCAUUCCCCAUUCAUGCGGGGGAUUGUUGGAUUUUAAAAAGGUGUGAAUGGAAAAUGAAGAGUUGGGACUUUUAUGAAGAGUUAUGACUAUUAUGAAAUGUUGCGACUUUUAUGAAAAGUUGUGACUUUUAUGAAAAGUUGCGACUUUUAUGAAAAGUUGUGACUUUUAUGGAAAGUUGUGACUUUUAUGAAAGGUGACGACCUUUCUGAAAGAUUGUGACUUUUCCAAAGGUUUGUGACCUUUCCGGUAAGGCACAAUAAGAACCUUUUCGCACUAUCCUUUGUUGUCUAUAAAUUGAGGGAUUUCCUCUUAUUUUGAAUAUAAUUUAUGGACUUCUUCUUCAACUACAAAAUCUAGUAUUCUAAGUGUUCUUUACUGUCGUUGAGUGGUUCGCUGACACCGGAGUUUUUGGUAUCUAUACACUGGUGAUUAAAAUCACUACCCUGGGAGGUCAUAUUCCAAAUCAAACCACGGAUACUAGAGGGAAAUAAUUUCCUUAAGGGGACACUGUGAAUUCAGUGGACUUCAUCUUUUUCCUAUUAAAAAAUUUCCAGAUUCUGGUACGUGUUUUACAAACUUUAGAUUUGUGAAUUAAUUUCAAUUCUUCUAUUCUUUUGUUCUUCACUGGUUCAUUAAACUUGGUAACAUCGUGUUUCUGCGAAGUUUGUUGGAAUCAGUAAGAUUUAUUAGACACAUAUUAACAAUAAUUUUUCUUUAUGAAAAAUAUUUCGUAUAUUUUUUUUAAAAAAAACUGUUUUUGAUUCUAGUUUCGCUACUAGUUUUAAUUUUCUAGUUGUGAAAAUGUUCUUAAACUUUGUUUUCUUACAAAGAUGUUCAAAUUUUUGUUCAAAGUAUGUUUGGAAUACAAGAUGAACAGCACAAGUGGCAUCAACACAACAAGUAGUAAUAAAAUUAAAAGAAUGGACUAACCCUGCAUAAGUUAGAAAGACUGGGGUCCUUAGAUGGCUUCUGUUGGAUUCACCUUCAACAAUUGUAUUUGUAUGACCUGUUGGAACAUUGCUAUAGGUAGAAAGACCUUGACCUAUUAGUUAUUGUCAUUUGGUGUAGCUGGAGGUAUCUCGGAGAUGGUUGGGCUAAUACUUUGAGUUGACGUUUCAAUAUUGGUCGGGGUACCACCUUGUUGAGGAGAAACUGUUGUGUGCUUGGAAAUAGUUGACAUGUUUACACGAAUAGCAGGAUUAUUCUUACCUGAGGAUUUUCCACGACCUCUGCCUCCAGCCAUACCUAUAAACAAUAAAACCAUUUUUGUUAGAUAAUGAAAUUACAUAGAACAAUAAUGGUGAAAUAUAAAAAUUGUCUCUGUAAUUAAGAGAUUAUUGAUCAAGUAAAAUAAAUUAGUACUUUGAUAUACAAGAGUAACUAUCUAAAAUAAAAGUAACAACAGCGAAGGGAUCAUGAACUUCUAUCAGAAGCUUUACACAAAGAAUAUGCUUCUGAUAAGGCUCCAGAACAUUGUUGUGGGUAGAAAGACCCUAACAUGUUCGGUUACUCUCAUUUGUUGUAGCUGGAGGUGUCUCAGAGAUGGUUGAGCUAAUACUUUGAGUUGACGUUACAAUACUGGUCGGCGUACUACCUUUUUGAGGAGAAACUCUAGUGGGGUUGGGAAUAGUUGAUCUGCUUACACGAACAACAGGAUUACUCCUACCUGAGGAUUUUCCACGACCUCUACCUCCAGCCAUAUCUAUAAAUAAAUAUAACAUUGUUGUUAGAUAAUUUGGAACAAAGAUGAAAUAUGAAAACUGUCUGUAAGAGCUUGUUGAUAUGAAAUUUAUCAUGUGCUUCUGAUAAGUCUACAGAACCUGAUGGUUACACAAUUAUUGUCAAGUAAUGUCAUUCAAUUCAAAGAAAUGAUAAAAAAUUUAUGUUACAAUAAGUCUCUCAAAGAUUUAAUUAGGAAUUGAAAUAAGAAACAAAACACAAGUAGUUUAAAGACAAGAGCUAUUUCUUUUUAGAUCCUAAACUGAAAAUUAGUAACAAGCACAAACUGUGGACCAAAAGGUACUCUCAUUCAUAUUCAUCAAAUAAGAACAAAACAUGCAUUUCGGCAAAACAAAAACAAUUUCUAAAGUUUUUCACUAGGCAGACUUAGUCCCACAAAAUUUAUGACAAAUAAAAGGUAUUAAAGCAUUAAAUUUGAUUUACAGUACAAACAAACACUUUUCAGUGUGUGAGAAACUAGAGCAAGAAAAGAAUUUGGAGUCAAUACUACAUUUCAUCAGCAACAAACAGAAGCACAUUACAUGAAAAAGUUUCCACUGAACAUUAGUAAUUGUAUUAUCAAAUGAAAGCAGACAGAAUUUCAUACAUCUAAAAUGCUUAACUCAUGAAACAAUGAAAAAUUAAUGUUCACUAAAUCAGAAGCUAAAAUGCUCUUGAAGCCAUUUCACUGAAUCUAGAAAGAAGUUACUCUAUUGUAUACUUAAUAGCUUAGUAGCUAUUAAGUAUAAUAAAUAAAUAAGAGAUGAGGAAUGAAAGGAUAACUAUUAGCUACCAAAUAAAAUUUUAGCAGAUAGAAACAUGAAUUCGAUUCAUAGAAUGAUCAGGGGAUUUGAAAAACAAGCUACUAACGUACAUCAACAAAAAAAAACAUUCACCUUAAUUAGUUAACUUCAAGAUUAUAUGCUUAUUUUGAAUAGAAAAGCAUCAUUAACAGUAGCAAAACUGAAUGUAAAGCAUAGGCUUACAGAUAAUGAAACAAAGAACAUAGAUUCUACAACAUAGCGAAGAUUAGUCACCGAAAAAGGAUUCAAACAAAGAGGAACAAAUAAGCGUCAAUACUAAAUUCUAAACGAUAAAUGUCAACUUUCACAUUAAUAUGAAUCAAGGAAAUCCAUUUAGAACACAUGUGUAGCAAAUUCAAGUCAUCAGUUCUCAUCUACAAACAACAGUGUUACAACAACAAACUAGCGAGGCAUAUCAUGAAUAGUAGAAAACAAGAAGAAGAUUACGGAGAAAACGUUACUUUUCUCCAGGCAGUGACUAGACAGUGAAAAGCUUAGAGACUUUUUGUCACUGUUAUUUCGAGAUAUCGAGAAUUCGUCAAGAAAAGUAGAAGCAAGCAAGGUUAAAGUCUAAAAAAUUGAAAAAUAUUCAAAAUAAGAAAUUAGAGCGAAGUAGAAGCAAGCAACACUAACGAAAGAAAGUAAAAUAUUAAACACAAUAGUUAACUCAAUCCUUUCAACACUAAAAUAAAAGACACAAGGAAAACACAUACAUUUCAUCGAAAUCGUGAUAAAAGUUUAUAGCUUUCACAUAACACCUUUAGAAAAAAACGUAGCAAACAACUAGUGUUGAAGCCUCUACUAACAAUUUCAUACAUAAGAAGAGACUAAGAACAAUAGAAAAUAUCUUCUUUUGUUAAUGAUUGUAGAAGCUAAUUUAAGCCAUUGAAACACCUCAUUCUCAUCUCAUAUCUCAUUGUGAAUUUUAAAGUAGAUAGAGCACACACUUUUUUCUUAAAACAUCAUUGAGAUAUGUAUCCAUCAUUAAAAUCUAAUUGCUAAAUCAUGUCAAUGCCUAUUUAUCUUUUUUAGACUCUCUUUUUCUAUCAACUUUUAGCAAGUUAUAGCUAUAAGAUUUACUAAGCUAGCUGCAAUGCAAAAAAAUAAAAUAAUAAAUAAAUACAAGAAUCUUAUAAUGUGUAUAUCAAUAACAAGUAACAUUUUAUUUUUGAAACACUAUUUACAAGCUUUUGGUGGUGAAGAAGAAGAAGAAAUUUCAUUAGAAGUGAGUUUACCGGCGAUUUUUCGCUGUGUUAGAGUGAGUUCAGUAGACAAUGUGGUUGAUCAAUAUGCCUAACAUCAUGUAUCCACGAAAAUUUACAAAAGACUAAUGGAAUUCCUUGAUAACCCCAUCCCGUUUCCCCAGCCAUUUUUCACCAAAUAGAAGUCAACACCCUCCUCUUCACCGCACUAGAAGCUCACCGAACAUAUGAAAAACAAAAAUUACCAAAGGUAGAAGCUCACCUUUCACCUGAGGAUGAAGGAGACGGGAUAAAUUUCACCGUGAACCUAAGACGGGAACAAUUUCACCUCAGAUGGUAGCAAUCGAAACGAGAGGGAGACAGGAGCAAUUGAAAAGAAAAGGAGACAGGAGCAAUCGAAUUAUUACCUCUCAUUGAGUUGUUGCGCUGCUCUUGGGGCGUUUCACUGAGAUAAUACCCUAUUUUUUAGGGAUUGUAAUUUUUGUUUCCUUUUUGUUUUUCAAUGGACUGAUGACUUGGUAAAAAUUAUUGCAACGAACUUAGCGAUGGAUAAAUAAAUAUAAUUAUUUACAUUAAUUUUUAGAGACGGAUAUUUCCGCCACUACGUAAUUUAAAUUCCAUAAAAAUAUAUUUAGAUUCUAGCAACGUUUGUCCGUCCCUACUUCCAUCACAAUAUAUUAUUAAAUUUGUAAUACCUACUUUGUUGCAAAAUCUAUAGCGAAAUUUAAGGCGCCAAAGUUUCCCGCUAUUAUUUCACGACAAAAAACAUAUUUUGUCGCCAAUCCGUUGCUAUAUUAUAACUCAAAAGAAUAUUUGUAAAUUUUGCAACGAAAUGACUACUUCGUUGCUAAUCCAUUGUUAUAUAGUGACGAAAUUGAUUCCGUCGCUAAACAUUAUUCUUUGUAGUGUAACAAAUUGAAUGUUAUGGAAAGGUCCUUCUGCAAAAGACAUCUGGCAAGGUGUUGACUCUAAAACAAUGUUUGUAUUUGACAAAGUUAUAACAAUUAAAGAACAAAAUAUUUGUGGGAAAUGUUACCUCAUGGAAGAUCUUUUCAAACCAAGUAUUUUUGUUUGUUCUUACUUGCUUGAAUUAAAUUGUUUGUGACAUGAACAUUUGGGAAAUUUCAAUUACAAAACCUUGCAAAAACUAAUCAACUUAGAAGUUUUGUCUAACUCCUAGUGCAAUAAAUCAAAAUGUCAAGUAUGUGUUAUUGAAUGGAACUUUAACCCUUAGAAUUGAUUUACACUUACAUUUUUUAUGUAAAGUCAAGAUCAUCUCGUGGUGGAAAAAAUGUUUCAUAAAUUUUAUUGAUAAUUGCACUAGAUAUUGUUAUGUCUAUUUGCUUAAUAAUAAGGAUGAAGCAAGAGAAACAUAAGCAAUAUAAAACUGAAGUUGAAAAUUAAUUAGAUAAAAAAAUUGUCAUGAUUAGAAGUGGUAGGUGUUGAAAAUAUAAAUCUUCUUUUGCAGAAAUAUAUUUGCAGAAUGAAAUCAUUCAUGAAUACACAUACUCACCUUAAUAUAAUGAAAUUAUUGAGAGAGAAAAAAUAUGAACUUUAAAGGAAAUAUUGAAUAUCCUACUAACGAGUUCAGGUUUACCACAAAAUUUAUGGGGGAUGCUAUAUCAUUAUAGCAAAAGAGAAUAACAAAAAGUUUGUAUGUUUAGAAAGAGAGAAACAAAAAAGAGUAACAAAUAAAAAAUUUUAUUUGUUAAGAAAGGGAGCAACAACAAGUUGUGUUUGUUCAGGCUUUAUUAUAUCCUGAUAGAGAAUUGCUUGUUGCCCUUAAAGUAUAUACAAUCAAUAACACCCUUGAAAGAUAGUGAUCUAACCAUUUCCAAUACAGUCUAUUUCAUAUGAGAAAUGAAAAUGAGGGAACUAUUUUCAAACAAGUCAAAAUAGGACCUAUGACUGUGAAUUGUAUGUUCAUUGAAUAUGCUACAAUGAGUAAAGCAUAUUAAUUUAUGUUUCAUAAGCCCGAAACGUCAGAUUGUCAAAUAAAGGGUCUAAACGUCCUUGGAAAAAAUCAAAAGAGAAUGCACUUAAUAAAGAGAUUCAGAGGCAUAGUAAAUGUCAAUGGACAAAUUAUUUCCUCCGAAUUAGAUUUUGUAAUAUUUCUUCUUGAAACUGAGUUCAUACAGUCAAACAAGAUUUGUCUUGUGUGGAAUCAUUCUUUUUGGAAAUAGGUUGUCAAUUGGUAGAAUAAAUUCAAUUUUGAGCAACCAACUUGAGAGUUGGUUUCUUUCUCCAAGAAAUAAACAUUUGGGUUCAAAGUGGACCUACAAAAGGAAAAGAAAGUUGAUGAAAUGUAAACUAUUGACAAAUAUAAAGAAAGACUUGUUUUCAUAUGUUUGGACAAUAAAAAAUUCUUGAUUAUUUUGAUACAAAAUUGCCACUAACUAGGAUUACAUCAAUCCAAAUGUUAGUUGCGCUAGUUGCAGUAUAUGGCCUUCAAAUUCUUCAAAGUGAAUGUGAAAAUAAUUUUUUUUAAAAAAUAAAAAAUUGGAGGAAAAAUUUACAUGGAACAACCUGAGGGAUUUGUAGUUCGUGGUAAAGAAAAAGUCUGUAAACUUGUUAAGUCACUUUGUGCAUGCGCCCAAAUAAUGACAUGCGAAUAUUGACCAAACUAUGUUGGUAAAAGAAUUCAAAUUAAUGAAUGUGAUUAAUGUUUUUACAUUAAAGACAGUUCGAAUCAAAAGGUCAUUAUUUAUUUCUAUGUUAAUGACAUGUUGAUCAACAAAAGAGGUAUUUCUGACAUAAAUGCUACUAAGCAUGUGCUAGAAAGUAACUUCGAUAUGAAAGAUAUUGAAAUUAGUGAUGUGAUUAAAAAAGUACUUGACAAGUUCAAGUACUUGGAUUUUAAUAUUGUCAAGACUCCAAUAGUGUGAGCAAUCUACUUCAAAAGAAUGAAGGCAAAAGUGACUCACAAUUGGAUUAUGCUAGAGUAUUGAAAAGUAUGAUAUAUAUCAUGAAGUGUACGCGAUCAGAUAUCUGUAGCAUUAUUAGUAAACUGAGUCGGUUCACAAGUAAUUUCAAUCAAACUCAUUGGAUGACAAUGAAAAGAGUUUUGAAGAAUUUAAAACAUACUUAAUACUAUUGUUUUGCAUUAUAACUAAUAUUUAACAAUAUUGAAAGAAAAUAGUGAUGCAAAUUGAAUCACCAGGUCAAAUAAAGUAAAAUUUACGAAUGAAUAUGUAUUUACUCUUGAUGAAGGAGUAGACUCUUGAAAAUCUUUCAAACAAAAAUGUAUGGCUCACUCUACUAUGAAAUCUGAGUUUAUCACUUUACAUAAAGCGGGUGAAGAAAUUGAAUGACUCCAAAGUUUCUUGAAAGAUGUUUUCCCCAAACCUUUAGCUCAUGUAUGCAUACACUGUGAGUGUUAAUUUGCAAUAGGUAAGGCAUGGAAGAUGAAAGUAAGGGUGGAAGAUGAAGCAGAAUUUCAAAUGAAAUUGAAAUUAAAGUAACAAAAUUAAAAUAAGUCAAAUAGUAAGAGAGAGAAAUUUUUAAAAAAAUGAAAAAAAUAUAUAUUUCAAAUUAAAUUAACAAGUGUCACACAAUGAUCGGUGUGUGAUAACACUUGUGAUUUAAAAUUUGAAAUUGAUCGAGAAAUGAUGUAAUAAUAUAUGUUCGAAAUGUUAGGUUGUGGAGCCUGAUUGAUAUAUAUUACUGUUAGGUUGUGGAGCCUGCACUAUUUAUUCUCCAUUUAUUUUGUAAUACCCCACCGCCGUGGAAGUUUACUCACGGGGUGUUACCACGAAAUAUUGGUUUCUCUCUUUCUCUCUCUAGAUCUCUCAUCUCUUUCUCUUGAAAAGUUUUUGUGUUCUUCAUUCAUCAAGUGUGUGCGUGAAUUCGAUUCUAACACGAAAUUGUUUAGGGAGAUAAUAGGACACAUGCAUAGUUAAGAUGUUUUUUUAAAAAUUCGAAAAAACUUCAGGUGUUACUUUAUGUCUUUUCUCUAUAAUAUAUUGAAUUUAAAAUGUAUUAUAACCAUUGUUUAUUUUUUCUCAUAUUAACGGUAUUAAAAUCUGUUAUUGUAUUAAAAAUUAUUUUAGUUAUAAAUUUGACACGUGCAUUGAAACAUACCUAUAAUAUGUAUUAUAUAUUGAAUUCAAAUGUAUUACAAUUGUUACUUUUUUUCUCCUAUUAAUGGUGUUAAAAUAAUAUAUUUUUGUAUUAAAACUAUUUAAGUUAUAUAUUUACAAUGUGCAUUGGAAAAUAAAUAUAAUAUGUGUAAUAUAUUGAAUUCAAAAUGUAUUAUAGGUAUAAUCUAUAUUUAUUUAUUUUAUUAAUGAUAUUUAUAUAUUUUUAAAAAUAAAUGUUAAUAUUCCAAACACCCUUAAGCAUUAAAAUAAUUUAAAUUUAAAAAAAAAAAGAGAGAGAGAGAGAGAGAAAGACAGAGAGAAUGGCUGAAGAAGGGACAAGAAUGAAAAAGAGAAAAAAGAAAGAGAAACAAAAUGACUUUAAAAAAAAAAAGGAGAAAAAAAAUGACGGAAGAAAAGACAAAAAUAAAAGAGAAAAAAUAAUGGAAGAAAAUGUAUUAAUGGAAGAAAGAAUAUAAAGAAAUAAUGUAUUUUGUUAUGUCUAGUAAUAAAAUUAAUGCCAUUAAUUAAUAUAUUAUAUUAUAUUAUUUAUGUAAAAUGACCCCUAAAUAAACUGUAUACGAUAUUGGCAAUUUUUUGCGGGAAACUUACCUAUAUAUACUAUAAUAAAAAAAAUAUUUACCAUUUAUAGCAACAAUAUUUUUUUUCACUUGAUCACUUUUAAUUCAUUUAUAAUACAAGUUUAAUACAUAUUAUAAAGACCAAUUUAUUAUUCACAUAUAAUACAAAUUUUAAUGAUGAAUAAUUCAUUUAUCAUACAUUUUAAUACAAUUAUAAUACAAUGUGACAAUUUUUAACCAAACAAACAUGAUAUAUUUUUAAAAAAAAACUAUUAUAAUGCAUAUAUAUUUCAUAUAUAAUUCAAUUUUAAUACAUAUUACGAAUUUAUUACAAUUUUGCUAUAAAUGGUAAUAAAUAAAAAGUAUUACUAAAAUCAGUAAUUAUUUUUUAAAAUGUAUUAAUUUAUGUAAUUUUUCCAUUUUUGGCCCUCCGGAAUGGUGUUGGGCUUCAUUGACAAGCAACAAAAGAGAACUUUAGUAUCAAGCCCAUUAAUAUUUAUUUUGUGUAUUGUGUAAAGAUAACCCAUUUGCUUGUACUUAGUUUAGCAUUAUCUCGAAUGAAUAAAUAUUUCUAUUAUAUUUAUUAAUUUUCUCUAUAAUUUAAAUUAAUUAUAUUUUGUAUCACUAAAUUAGUAGUUCCAUAAAAGAUUUCAAGUUAAAUACACCUAGAUAUAUGUUUUUUACACCUAGAUACAUGUAUUCUGCUCCUAGAUACACUGUAAUAGGGAGAGAGACGAGCAAAAAUAGGAGGAAGGCGAGCGAGAUUUGUCUAUAUAUCAUAGAUACAUGUGAAUCAUACUUGAUACGUACACACUAAAUACAUGUAUCUGGUGUAAUUUGCAUGUAUCUGGAAUACCAAAUACGUAGAAAGUGGUGAGGAGAUUUGUCUAUGUAUCUCACAUACAUGCAAAUCCACUAAGAAUAUCUAGAGUAAAUUACACCUAAUUUUGACCUUUGGACGCAUUUGGACAGACUAAACUCUAAUAAUGUUCAUAAUAUUGCAAACUAACGUAAAUUUAAGUAAUUAACUUUUAAUUAAUAGAAUUUAUGUAAAUUACUCCAAUUCGUCCUAUUGUAGAGAUGUAUUAUGUGUAUAUACUUUGGGUAGAGCUGUCAUUUUCACAAUAAAUAAAGUCUCUCCUUUCAAUUAGUGUAUGAUUUCAACCCUUAACGCAUUCAAGUUAACGUAAGUAUUUUGCUUGUAGAUUAGAUAUAUAAAAUUUAGUUCGUUUCAAAAAUUAUAUAAGGUUUAUCUGAUUAUUCAGAGUCGAAUUUGAAACUUAAAAGUCAUAUGCCUAAAGUUAGUAGUAAAACGGCAAAACUUUAUAAAAGUUGAUUGUUCUUUGAAAUAGCUUUUCUAAAAAUGGUAAUUUGUGCGUUUCAUCCAAAAUUAACUUAAGAGAUGUUUCAAGCGAUGUUAAAUUAAAUGAAAAUUAUAUUCUAUGCUUUUUUUAGAAGUCAUUACAUCGUUGGAACAAUUAUCAAUUAAUUUAUGUCUAAUUUGUCAUUUUUUUUUUGGCAGAAAAUUCCCACAUCUAUUAAUCUAAAACAGGAAAUUGAAGUUUUAAUGUAUAUCAAAAUGCCAAAUACAUGUUAAAUGUACCUUAAUUCAAUAUUUGUUUUUUUAAUGUGAUUGUAAUGAUACAUACAUAUUAUUAACGUCUAUAUUAGGAAAAUUAUAAAAAAAAAAUCAUUCUUAUCUUGGUGAGUUUAGUAGUAUUAUACUUAUACGAUAUAGUCAUUUAUAAUAAUAUCACAAAAGAACACGUAAAGCAUCUGCGUAAAAGUAUUUAUCAUAAAUCUAUUGAGUGAAAACUAAAUUAAGAAAAUUUUAUUUUUUAAUGUCAAUUGAAUUUCGAAAACUUCCAUCACUUGAUCUUGAUAUACCUGAAUUUCAUAUGCAUAUUUCUUUUUUUAAAAUUCGUAUAUCUAAAGUUAUCUCAAAAAUAAAUAGAUUUAUUGAUAUUUAUGUACUGUGGUUAUAGCUUAAAUACGGCCUCAAAAAUUUAAAAAUUGAUAUAUAUGUACUGUGGUUAUAGCUUCGAUAUGGCCUCAAAAAUUUAAAAAAAUUAUACAACAUAGUUUUGUAUGUUGUAUUAUUUUAUAAUAUACAGUUGUCAUACUGAUAUUUUUACAUGUUACUAUACUGAAGAUAAAUAUAAAAAAUUAUUGACAGUCUGUAGCUAGUCUUAAUUGGUCCAAUUAAUACUAUGCAUUUUACCUGGAUGUUUGACUUUUUUAAUUAACAAUGAUUGAAUAAUGACAUGUGUACUGUGUGCAAAAUUUUAUGGUAUAGUUUUUUCAACUAACCUAUGUUCAUUCAAACUCAAUUAGUUACAAAAUUUAUCAUAAGUCGAGCAAAAAAUUCUUAUAAUAAAAGUGUUAGAACCAAUAAAAACAAAUGUGUGAGGCUAUAAUACAUUUUUUUUCACACAUAAAUAGUACUAUUAUUUGUAUAAUUCAUGUGGAUCUAUAGACAUAUUAAUUAUACUAAUAUUUUAAGAAGUGAUAAAUUAUACUAUUAAAAUAUUGGAAUAUUCUUUAUUUGACCAAAGGUUUAUUCAUUUUUAAAUAAUAAAUAAUUUCUUCAAUUCCAAUUUAUGACACUUUUUGUGUAUAGUCAUUUUUUGAAAAAAAAAUGAAAUUUUUAUAUAUUUAAUAUUAAUUAACUAUCACUAUGAAUUUUACCUUUAAUAAAAUGCUAUACAAUUAUAUAUAUUUUUUAAAUUAUAAUAUUUUAAAAAAUAAUCUUUAUAUUUGAAUUUUUUCUCGCCUCCAAAAGCAAAAUUCAGAAUUGAGAUGGUUCAGGCCUAAAGAGGAUUGAGCCGAAGCAGUUGUCCCAUCAAACACCCUUACUUCCCACUCAUCUAUAUUGCUCCAAUUAGUUCUCUUUCUCCCAAUAUACCGUAAAUAUCUGGACCAAAACCUAGGGUAGAGAUAGUUUAGGCCUAAAAUGGGUUGAUCCGAAGCAGUCAUCCCAUUAAACACCCUUACUUUCCACCAAUUCAUAUUGCUCCAAAUAGUUGUCUCUUUCUCCUAAUUGGAUAAAAAUCUAGACCAAAAUCUAGGAUCGAGAUGGUUUGAAUCUAAAGUGGGCAGCCGUCCCAUUUAACACCUUACUUCCCACCAAUUCAUAUUGCUCUAAAUAGUUGUCUCUUUCUCCUAAUUGGAUAAAAAUCUAAACCAAAAUCUAGGAUCGAGAUGGUUCGAAUCUAAAGUGGGCAGGCAUCCCAUUUAACACCCUUACUUCCCACCAAUUCAUAUUGCUCUAAAUAGUUGUCUCUUUCUCCUAAUUGGAUAAAAAUCUAGACCAAAAUCUAGGAUCGAGAUGGUUCGAAUCUAAAGUGGGCAGGCAUCCCAUUUAACACCCUUACUUCCCACCAAUUCAUAUUGCUCUAAAUAGUUGUCUCUUUCUCCUAAUUGGAUAAAAAUCUAGAUUAAAAUCUAGGAUCGAGAUGGUUCGAAUCUAAAGUAGGCAGGCAUCCCAUUUAAUACCCUUAGUUUCCACCCAUACGUAUUGCUCCAAAUAGUUAUCUCUUUCUCCUAAUUGGAUAAAAAUCUAGACCAAAACCUAGGAUCGAGACCGUUCGAAUCUAAAGUGGACAGCCGUCCCAUCUAACAUCCUUAGCUCCCACCCAUACAUAUUGCUCCAAAUAGAUGUCUCUUUCUCCCAAUUGGGUAAAAAUUAGACAAAAUAUUGUUGAUCAUAUCAAGGGGCCACAAGACUAACAAGUGAGUAGUGACAAUAAGUUUGUCCUAUUAAGAUUAGAUAAACUCUAAAAUGCCCCAUCAUUACAAGUCAACAACUUAUCUUAUAACACUUAUUUUUUUGUUGUAGGUUGAAAGUGGGUGGAGGUUUGAGUAUUUAUUAUACAUAAAAAUAAUAUGCAUUUCCAAAAAGUUAAGUGGGUGCAGCACUAAAUUAGUGGAUGCAAAGUAUCGCUACACUACUAUGCCUUAGUGAUAAUAAAUAGGUUUGAAAUGAGGUGUUUGUUCGAAGUAGUUGAAUAGGAAUCACUAUGAUUAAUUACAAAACUUCGUUUUGUUGCCCACUUGGUCUUAUUCAUUUUCAAAUGAUACUAACUUUGUUUUCGAAUAAGCAAAUACGCACCUAUUAUUGCAAGUAUAAUAGAAAGAAACGAUAAGCUCUCUGCUCUAUUUGCUCGUUGGCUUCACGUCAACCGACCACGACCACAUGUUACACUAUUAUAUAUUAAGAUAAGAAUGGCCAGCAGGGUUACAAAUAUGGAAAGAUACAUAUAUAAAUUUAACAGAAAGCAGUACUGGAAUAGCUCUUAACAACAUUACUAGACAGUAUUUGGAUCAAUGAGCUGUUUUUUGGACCAACACAUCUAGGGGUUUUGAACUGGCUCACCGCGCCUCCUAAUCCAACGAAAUGAUCCAAUAUCUUAUGAAAGGUUCCCCUCUUCACAAUCCUCAGUUCAAGUGCUCCAAUUGCAUUCACUUUCCUGGAGCUCACGUAGCCUGCAUCGAGGAACGAUUUGUCCAGACAGUUGCAGCACUCUUGCAAUAUUUCAUCAGUUGCUUCCCCACUCAGUUCCCAGAAGAUGA
Molecule: long non-coding RNA, 24840 nt
Filed under: Solanum lycopersicum (tomato)
Lineage: Eukaryota; Viridiplantae; Streptophyta; Magnoliopsida; Solanales; Solanaceae
Description: long non-coding RNA (SLYC_LNC000744)
Source: RNAcentral